CUAAAACACUAGCCCACACCCUAAAAAUCUUACCUUUAUUAAACCCUCCCAAAAUAUUUUUUUGUUAAGUAAAGACGAUCGAAAAAUUAUCUGGCGCAAUAACAACGUACCGCAAGGGAAAGUUGAAAUAAAAUGAAAAUUCAAGCACAAAAAAGUAAAGCCUAUCCCUUGUACCUUUUGCAUCAUGAUUUAAUUAGUCAAUUUACGCAAAAUGUUUUCAAGUCUAAUUUCCCGAAGCUAAGUGAGCUACUCUAGGACAGCUUUUUGAGCAAACCCGUCUCUGUUGCAAAAGAGUGGGGAGAUCCUAAAGUAGAGGUGCCAAACCUAACGAACUUAGCGAUAGCUGGUUAUUCAGGAAAAGAAUUUAAGUUCACCCUAAAGCUAUCACAUUUUUCCAAAAAACCCCCUUAACUUUAGAGCUACUCAAAUAAGGUACAGCUUAUUUGAACCUGGACACAACCUACUCCAAUGGGUACCUCACGGACUUUCACAACUAAGUAGGCCUAAAAGCAGCCACCUUAAAAAAGCGUCAAAGCUUGCCUGUCCCCUCCCCUAAUUCCCCUAGUCUUAACUAACCCUUCAACUUUACUGAAUACUUCUAUAUCUAUAUGGAACCUUUUAUGUUAAAACUAGUAACAAGAAGAAGACCUUCUCUUCAAUGCAAGCUUAAGUCUAAAAAGACCCUAACGACAAUUAAUAGAUUACAAUAGUAACUUCACUAGAAAACCCUAUAUCCCAUUCUAUUAACCUAACACAAGAGCAUCAAAAGAAAGAUUAAAAGAAAAAGAAGGAACUCGGCAAAUAUUGACCCCGCCUGUUUACCAAAAACAUCGCCUCCCGAAACCAUGGGAGGUCCAGCCUGCCCAGUGACCCCUGUUCAACGGCCGCGGUAUCCUAACCGUGCGAAGGUAGCGUAAUCACUUGUCUUUUAAAUAAAGACUAGUAUGAAAGGCAUCACGAAGGUCUAACUGUCUCCUUUUUCCAAUCAAUGAAACUAAUCUCCUCGUGAAGAAGCGAGGAUAGACCUAUUAGACGAGAAGACCCUAUGGAGCUUUAAACACAGUAAUUCAUGCUUUCAAUUUUCCCUUCCAGAACACUCUCCCUCACAGCAUACCAAUUAUAAGUUUUAGGUUGGGACGACCACGGAGAAAAACCUAUCCUCCAUGUUGAACUAGACUUUACCCUAAUCAACAAGUUACGACUUUAUGAAUCAAUAAAUUGACCUCCAUUGACCCAAUUCAUUUGAUCAACGAACCAAGUUACCCUAGGGAUAACAGCGCAAUCCGCUUCAAGAGCCCCUAUCGACAAGCGGGUUUACGACCUCGAUGUUGGAUCAGGGUGUCCUAGUGGUGCAGCCGCUACUAAGGGUUCGUUUGUUCAACGAUUAAAACCCCACGUGAUCUGAGUUCAGACCGGAGUAAUCCAGGUCAGUUUCUAUCUAUAGACUUAGGGCUUUUUCCAGUACGAAAGGACCAAAAAAGCAUGGCCUAUUUUAAACAAAGCCAUUAUUAAUUAUUUUUGACCCCCUUAAAAAAUAACUAACCUUCUUUUUUCUCAAGAAAAGAGUA
This 1568-nucleotide ribosomal RNA is filed under the name Niceforonia brunnea. Its description in RNAcentral is "Hypodactylus brunneus 16S ribosomal RNA". It matches the Rfam family "Bacterial large subunit ribosomal RNA", at positions 269 to 2836 of the family's 2925-position model. Lineage: Eukaryota; Metazoa; Chordata; Amphibia; Anura; Strabomantidae. The record is from RNAcentral.